GGGGAGGAGCCCCAGCCCCGCGACGAGGAGGAAGCGGAGCUGGAGCUGCUGAGGCAGUUUGACCUGGCCUGGCAGUACGGGCCCUGCACCGGUGAGAACCCACCCAGCCCCACGGAGGCGCCUCUCCCAGCCAGUCACCCACACGUCUCUGAAGUCACCCAAGCGCUUGCGUGACUCUGACCCUCAGGAACUGUCUCCCCCCAACACACACAUUCUCCAGCUCAGACUCUACCCCACCCCCCACAAGUCUCCAGAGUCUUCUUCCCACCCUGGCAGGGAUCACACGGCUGCAGCGCUGGUGUCGGGCCAAGCAGAUGGGCUUGGAGCCUCCCCCAGAGGUGUGGCAGGUGCUGAAGACCCACCCCGGAGACCCCCGCUUCCAGUGCAGUCUCUGGCAUCUCUAUCCCCUAUGAGGCACCACGUAAGACCUCCUGCCCUUAGCUCUCUUGCUCACCACCCAAGAACCUCAGGACAGAAGCGAGAGCCCAUUGCUCCUGCUCAGCUCAGCCCGGCUGCGGAGGAACCCUUGGCAGGCAGAACCUGGAGGUGUCAGAGGCUCAACUCCUCCAUCUAACCAGCAGGCUCCCAGAGUCCCCGGAAGAGCCUGCGCAGCUGAAGCAGAGUGCUUCUAGAUGGAGAGUGGUCACUGGGGAAAAGGACCUGGCCAUCACCUUCCAAUACCUGCUGCCUGUCUCCCUGACCCAUGAUCUGGCAAGUUAGGCACAGUCAGACAUGGACAGUUGAUCCAUGAGGAAAAGAUGCUCUCCCACCUAAGGCCAGGAAUCUGAGAGCAGGACUGGCUGAGCUCCCAGGGCAAGGGGUUCACUAAUGCUUAUCAAUAAAGAAUAUUGAGCCUGGAA
This 860-nucleotide long non-coding RNA is filed under the name Homo sapiens (human). RNAcentral describes it as "non-protein coding lnc-POLD4-1:10". Lineage: Eukaryota; Metazoa; Chordata; Mammalia; Primates; Hominidae. The record is from RNAcentral.